RNAcentral lists this ribosomal RNA (497 nucleotides) under uncultured bacterium. RNAcentral describes it as "partial 16S ribosomal RNA". It matches the Rfam family "Bacterial small subunit ribosomal RNA", at positions 28 to 507 of the family's 1533-position model. The record is from RNAcentral.
GAUGAACGCUGGCGGCGUGCCUAAUACAUGCAAGUCGAGCGAACGGACGAGAAGCUUGCUUUUCUGAUGUUAGCGGCGGACGGGUGAGUAACACGUGGAUAACCUACCUAUAAGACUGGGAUAACUUCGGGAAACCGGAGCUAAUACCGGAUAAUAUUUUGAACCGCAUGGUUCAAAAGUGAAAGACGGUCUUGCUGUCACUUAUAGAUGGAUCCGCGCUGCAUUAGCUAGUUGGUAAGGUAACGGCUUACCAAGGCAACGAUGCAUAGCCGACCUGAGAGGAGGAUCGGCCACACUGGAACUGAGACACGGUCCAGACUCCUACGGGAGGCAGCAGUAGGGAAUCUUCCGCAAUGGGCGAAAGCCUGACGGAGCAACGCCGCGUGAGUGAUGAAGGUCUUCGGAUCGUAAAACUCUGUUAUUAGGGAAGAACAUAUGUGUAAGUAACUGUGCACAUCUUGACGGUACCUAAUCAGAAAGCCACGGCUAACUACGUG